Molecule: long non-coding RNA, 411 nt
Filed under: Anser brachyrhynchus (Pink-footed goose)
Lineage: Eukaryota; Metazoa; Chordata; Aves; Anseriformes; Anatidae
Description: lncRNA (ENSABRG00000011263.1)
Source: RNAcentral
CCUGGAUAAUCUGUUUAAGAAGAGAACAGAGUAAAUUUUGGGGGAGAUGGGGAUGUUGAAGCCCUCUGGACUACUCCAAAGACUUCAAACUGAAGACUAGCCAUGAAAGUCAAUACUUUCCAAGCUGGGAUAUUCCCAGGAGGAGGUAGCACAGUUACUUUUGGCAAAAGUGACAGUCAUAUAUCAACUUCAGAGAGUGAAAGUGAUUAAAAAGACCCUACCAGAGACUGAAGAAAGGUGAUGAGCAUUUGUGGAGAGUUAGGAAGGUGGAGGGGAAGUUCAGUAUAUGCAGUCAUUUAAAGAAGAGAGGUCUUGCAUAGAAAACUAAGUGUUCUGGCUGUUCGCUCACAGAAAGAACAGAAGGAAAGAAUGACCAACAAGAAGCAGUGUGGGAAGGUUGACGGGGGGGAU